Molecule: ribosomal RNA, 428 nt
Filed under: uncultured bacterium
Lineage: Bacteria
Description: partial 16S ribosomal RNA
Rfam family: Bacterial small subunit ribosomal RNA
Source: RNAcentral
GUAGGGAAUAUUGCACAAUGGAGGAAACUCUGAUGCAGCGACGCCGCGUGAGUGAUGAAGGCCUUCGGGUCGUAAAGCUCUGUCGCAGGGGAAUAACACAAUGAAGGUACCCUGUAAGAAAGGAUCGGCUAACUUCGUGCCAGCAGCCGCGGUAAGACGAGGGAUCCUAGCGUUGUUCGGAAUCAUUGGGCGUAAAGCGGAUGUAGGUGGCUAUGUAAGUCAUAUGUGAAAGCCUGGGGCUCAACCCCAGAAGUGCAUUUGAUACUGCGUAGCUUGAGUGUCGGAGAGGUUACUAGAAUUGUUGGUGUAGUGGUGAAAUGCGUAGAUAUCAACAGGAAUAACGUGGGCGAAGGCGGGUAACUGGCCGAACACUGACACUGAGAUCCGAAAGCGUGGGGAUCAAACAGGAUUAGAAACCCCAGUAGUCC